GCGAGAAUAGCUCAGUUGGUAGAGCACAACCUUGCCAAGGUUGGGGUCGAGGGUUCGAAUCCCAUCGCCCGCUCCA
Molecule: transfer RNA, 76 nt
Filed under: Calditrichota bacterium
Lineage: Bacteria; Pseudomonadati; Calditrichota
Description: Calditrichaeota bacterium (activated sludge metagenome) tRNA-Gly
Rfam family: tRNA
About the family: Transfer RNA (tRNA) molecules are approximately 80 nucleotides in length.
Source: RNAcentral